Molecule: unclassified non-coding RNA, 359 nt
Filed under: Hevea brasiliensis (rubber tree)
Lineage: Eukaryota; Viridiplantae; Streptophyta; Magnoliopsida; Malpighiales; Euphorbiaceae
Source: RNAcentral
CAGCAUCAGCAACAGCAGCAUUUGCUUGGAACCCAGCCUGACAACUCAAGCAUGCAAACUAAUCAGCACUCUGUAUGCAUGCUGCAACAGCCCAAGGUUCCAUGGCUGCAGGAAACUGCAAUUAAUUUGUUGCCAACUCAAGGCCAGCAGUCACAAUCACAGCUUCCACAGCAGCAAUUGAUGUCACAGAUUCAAUCACUGCCGACACAGUUUCAACAACAGCUGGUUUUGCAAGAGCAGUCUAAUCCAUUGCAACAAGAUCUGCAGCCAAGGCUCCAAGCAUCAAGUCAAGCACCAGCUUCCUUGCUUCAACAGCAGAUUGUAAUUGAUCAACAAAAGCAAUUGUAUCAAUCACAAAG